AGGGUGAGAACCUUCGAUUAAGGUUCGACUCGAGCGAAAGCGAGAGAACGUUGCCAACGGCAACGGCCCGUAGGGUGAGGAGCGAAGCGACGAAUAAUCCUUCCCCCACCACCA
Molecule: small RNA, 114 nt
Filed under: Salmonella enterica
Lineage: Bacteria; Pseudomonadati; Pseudomonadota; Gammaproteobacteria; Enterobacterales; Enterobacteriaceae
Also listed under: 1 other name
Description: partial RtT sRNA
Rfam family: RtT RNA
About the family: This family represents a bacterial cis-regulatory element known as RtT RNA. The exact function of RtT is unknown although it is thought that it may be involved in changing the cellular response in relation to amino acid starvation.
Source: RNAcentral